This 69-nucleotide transfer RNA is filed under the name Dendropsophus mapinguari. RNAcentral describes it as "tRNA-Val". It matches the Rfam family "tRNA". From Rfam's summary of the family: Transfer RNA (tRNA) molecules are approximately 80 nucleotides in length. Lineage: Eukaryota; Metazoa; Chordata; Amphibia; Anura; Hylidae. The record is from RNAcentral.
CAAAAUGUAGCUUAAUUAAAGCAUCUCGCUUACACCGAGAAAAUAUCUGUGAAAUUCAGAUCAUCUUGA